Molecule: ribosomal RNA, 503 nt
Filed under: uncultured bacterium
Lineage: Bacteria
Description: bacterial SSU rRNA
Rfam family: Bacterial small subunit ribosomal RNA
Source: RNAcentral
CGUGCCUAAUACAUGCAAGUCGAACGCACUCUCGUUUAGAUUGAAGGAGCUUGCUCCUGAUUGAUAACAUUUGAGUGAGUGGCGGACGGGUGAGUAACACGUGGGUAACCUGCCCUAAAGCGGGGGAUAACAUUUGGAAACAGAUGCUAAUACCGCAUAAAACCUAACACCGCAUGGUGUAGGGUUGAAAGAUGGUUUCGGCUAUCACUUUAGGAUGGACCCGCGGUGCAUUAGUUAGUUGGUGAGGUAAAGGCUCACCAAGACCGUGAUGCAUAGCCGACCUGAGAGGGUAAUCGGGCCACACUGGGACUGAGACACGGCCCAGACUCCUACGGGAGGCAGCAGUAGGGAAUCUUCCACAAUGGACGAAAGUCUGAUGGAGCAACGCCGCGUGAGUGAAGAAGGUUUCGGAUCGUAAACUCUGUUGUUGGAGAAGAAUGUAUCUGAUAGUAACUGAUCAGGUAGUGACGGUAUCCAACCAGAAAGCCACGGCUAACUACGUG